RNAcentral lists this long non-coding RNA (214 nucleotides) under Panax ginseng (ginseng). Its description in RNAcentral is "long non-coding RNA (PGIN_LNC003846)". The record is from RNAcentral. Lineage: Eukaryota; Viridiplantae; Streptophyta; Magnoliopsida; Apiales; Araliaceae.
ACUAAUAUUAUCAGGAUAACACGUUUUGAAAAAUGGCCAUGUUUGUUAUGAUACUUUAAAUGGAUAGAUAAUAGAGUUCUAAAGGAUGAAUACUAGUGAAAUAAAGGAACAAUUUGAAUAGCUAGUGAAGACUGAAUGUAGACAUAAACUCAAGUUUGGGGAAAAAUAUUUGGACUAUAUAAGCUUCUUUAAAAAAAAUAAAAAUAAAAUAAAC